Non-coding RNA from Pelobates cultripes (western spadefoot toad), 304 nucleotides. NCBI's taxonomy places the organism in Eukaryota, Metazoa, Chordata, Amphibia, Anura, Pelobatidae. The record is from the annotation of a GenBank genome assembly.
CAGGGAGUGGAAUGGUGAAAUACGAGUUCUAUGCUACACGCCAUAUGAAGUCUGACUAACAAAAGUUAUCGAAUUUAAGACCUGGGUGAGACGGCGCUGAACAACUAAGGUCGGUGUUGCCUAGCAAGAUUGCGAGGUGUUGGAGACGGGGCAAACACUGAAGGGGGCGAUCUUCAGCUGGAACCACGCUGCAAAGACUCUGCAGGACCGAGAGGUGUGGGAGACGGAGUAAAUGCCGAAUGAGGCGGCGUGCGGCUGGGCUGGCUGCUUCAAAAAAUUGAAAAGGCUGACUGCGUUAUUAUCA